UUCUGAUACACUGAGCAGCCUUUCUCCGCUCUGCUCAGCCGUUCAGAUCCACUAGAGGGCAGCGUUACCAGGUUCUGAGCUCUGCUGUGGUUCUGUGUUCAAGCACUCUGUCGCUCCACAGACCAGGUCCCAUCAGGUGUUCUUGUCUCCCAGGCAGAACAAAUGAGAAACGUUUAUCCGGUUGUUGAACAGCUGCAGCGUUCCCUCCAGAUCCCGGUCUGAAUCAUUCCGACUGGUUCUAGCAUGACACAGUCUGAGUUUGGACUGGUUUUAAUGGGACGGCCCGUCACCAGGCUCAGUGAGGGGAGGAGCUCCACUCUGACAGACUUUGUGUUGGAGCUGAAGAGCUGCUGCGUUCUCUCUGUUCUUCUGUCAGUACCAGGGAAAACAAUGCAGCUGCUGCUUUUCUCCUGCAUGAUGAUGAUCUUCUGCCUUCAGCCAGGAUCCUCUGAGGAUUUACUGACACCAUUUAAAGACGAUCAACUGGAUUUGGAAGGAAACGACGUGACUCUGUCCUGCAACUAUUCAGGAACAGUAACCCUGCUGCUGUGGUACCGACAGACGCCCAGUUCAUCUCCACAGCUGGUCACCUCAGGAUAUUCAGACACAACAGGAAGGCUUUCUUUGAGACACGAGAAAACAAGAAAGACGUUUCAUCUGCUGAUCUCCUCUGCUGCAGUGACAGACUCUGCUGUGUACUACUGCACUGUGACGCCCACAGUGACAGGAAACACCAGAACCCUGUACAAAAAUCUGCAGUACUCCACAGCAGCCACUAGAGGGCCUCACUCCCUGUUAAUCUACUGGCUGUUGAGUGUUUGGACUGAAGACAAAGACAACAGUGACAUCAUGCUGCGACUGAAAUAAUCCAAGAAGUCUGCAGACAUGUGUAACGCCUGACAUUCUGCUUCCCAGAGUCUGAGAGACUUUCUAAAAUAUGUGAUCUUUAACUAUUCAAAUCUUAGAGAAAUUCUUUCCUCUUCUGUUCUCUUUAGUCAUGUGUCCCUUCAGGCGCACCGUAUGGAGAAGCUGGCUGCCUACAUAGGCCAUGAAAAGGGUUUCUGGAGAUGCUGUCAUAGUUGCUGAAUUGACUAUCAGAUCACAGAGGCAUCAA
Non-coding RNA from Xiphophorus maculatus (southern platyfish), 1114 nucleotides. The record is from the annotation of a RefSeq genome assembly. NCBI's taxonomy places the organism in Eukaryota, Metazoa, Chordata, Actinopteri, Cyprinodontiformes, Poeciliidae.